UUGAGAUUAAGGGACGGAGGCAGUUCAGAUGAAUCAUGCCGGAUUCUUUCCUCAGGCAACAGUCGUAAGGUUCUCCGGGUAUGUCCCCACUAGAGUUCGGACUCGAUCUGCAGAGUUCCAAAUUCGUUUGACGUUGUAUGGAUUACCAAAUUCGUUUCAUUACGAUUUACUACGAGUUUACGACCGCAUCAUCGAGAUACGGAUCCUGCUCGUCCUCAUCGAUCGCCUGCCUGACGACCAUGCUGCCUAUCUUCUUCAUUACGUCGAGCUCGAGGAGGCGCCGCGAGGCCGAGGAGGCAGCGGCUAAAAGGGAGGCGGUGGAUGCUAAAUUGACGAAGGCGAUGGAGAUAUUCGCAGCAAUAUCAGGUGCUGGAGCGGGAGCAAAAGAAGAGACGGAAAAGGCAAACGAAGCAGCGGAAAAGGCAUCACCGCCGGCAUCUUGAUCGAGCUGCGACGUCGUCGUCGUCGUCUGCAACUUUUAAUUAGUUGGGUUCUUGGGCUGUACUACCAAAUAUGGGGGAAGGCAAGAGCAGCCGCGGAGAAAGCAAGAGAAACGGCGGCGGCGGCGGCAGUGCCAGCAGCAUCUCCCCGCCGAAGUCGCCGCUAAUCAUACCAUGGCGGCAUGGCGCACCACCGGCACCUUUAUCGAGCUGCGACGCCGUCUGCAGCUUUAGUUUGGUUGUUGGUGAGGUACUAGUGAAAUAUGGGAUCGUAUUAACGAACUAUGAUUGUUUAUC
This 737-nucleotide long non-coding RNA is filed under the name Setaria italica (foxtail millet). RNAcentral describes it as "long non-coding RNA (SITA_LNC006022)". The record is from RNAcentral. Lineage: Eukaryota; Viridiplantae; Streptophyta; Magnoliopsida; Poales; Poaceae.